RNAcentral lists this ribosomal RNA (600 nucleotides) under Marinobacter segnicrescens. Its description in RNAcentral is "bacterial SSU rRNA". It matches the Rfam family "Bacterial small subunit ribosomal RNA", at positions 41 to 631 of the family's 1533-position model. Lineage: Bacteria; Pseudomonadati; Pseudomonadota; Gammaproteobacteria; Pseudomonadales; Marinobacteraceae. The record is from RNAcentral.
GGGAGUACCAGCUACCAUGCAGUCGAGCGGUAACAGGGGGUGCUUGCACCCCGCUGACGAGCGGCGGACGGGUGAGUAAUGCAUAGGAAACUGCCCAGUAGUGGGGGAUAGCCCGGGGAAACCCGGAUUAAUACCGCGUACGCCCUUCGGGGGAAAGCAGGGGAUCUUCGGACCUUGCGCUAUUGGAUGUGCCUAUGUCGGAUUAGCUAGUUGGUGGGGUAAAGGCCUACCAAGGCGACGGUCCGUAGCUGGUCUGAGAGGAUGAUCAGCCACAUCGGGACUGAGACACGGCCCGAACUCCUACGGGAGGCAGCAGUGGGGAAUAUUGGACAAUGGGGGCAACCCUGAUCCAGCCAUGCCGCGUGUGUGAAGAAGGCUUUCGGGUUGUAAAGCACUUUCAGUGAGGAGGAAAACUCUGCGACUAAUACUCGUAGGGCUUGACGUUACUCACAGAAGAAGCACCGGCUAACUCCGUGCCAGCAGCCGCGGUAAUACGGAGGGUGCAAGCGUUAAUCGGAAUUACUGGGCGUAAAGCGCGCGUAGGUGGUUUGAUAAGCGAGAUGUGAAAGCCCCGGGCUUAACCUGGGAACGGCAUUUCGA